Molecule: transfer RNA, 98 nt
Filed under: compost metagenome
Description: tRNA-Ala
Source: RNAcentral
CGUAUUUCAGCAGCUCUGACGGGAAGUUCUCCGAUCGCUACGAGGCGCAGAGACGGUUCGGCGAGCUGCGCACCGGUUCGGUUCCGGUGAAAGGCGGC